UCCGGUUCAUCACCAGCAGUCUCCUUAGAGUCCCCAACAUAACUUGAUGGUAACUAAGGAUAAGGGUUGCGCUCGUUACGGGACUUAACCCAACAUCUCACAACACGAGCUGACGACAGCCAUGCAGCACCUGUCUCUAGGUUCCUUUCGGCACUCCCGUAUCUCUACAGGAUCCCUAGGAUGUCAAGGGUAGGUAAGGUUCUUCGCGUUGCAUCGAAUUAAACCACAUGCUCCACCGCUUGUGCGGGCCCCCGUCAAUUCCUUUGAGUUUUAACCUUGCGGCCGUACUCCCCAGGCGGAGAACUUAUCGCGUUAGCUUCGAUACUAAUAGGUCAAGCCUACCAACAUCUAGUUCUCAUCGUUUACAGCGUGGACUGC
Molecule: unclassified non-coding RNA, 378 nt
Filed under: uncultured Gammaproteobacteria bacterium
Lineage: Bacteria; Pseudomonadati; Pseudomonadota; Gammaproteobacteria
Description: contains 16S-23S intergenic spacer region
Source: RNAcentral